RNAcentral lists this unclassified non-coding RNA (365 nucleotides) under uncultured Thelephoraceae. Its description in RNAcentral is "sequence contains ITS1". The stretch from base 1 to 106 matches the Rfam family "5.8S ribosomal RNA", at positions 50 to 154 of the family's 154-position model. Lineage: Eukaryota; Fungi; Basidiomycota; Agaricomycetes; Thelephorales; Thelephoraceae. The record is from RNAcentral.
GAAAUGCGAUAAGUAAUGUGAAUUGCAGAAUUCAGUGAAUCAUCGAAUCUUUGAACGCACCUUGCGCCCCUUGGCUAUUCCGAGGGGCAUGCCUGUUUGAGUAUCAUGAACACCUCAACUCUCAUGGUUCGCCAUGACGAGCUUGGACUUUGGGGGUUUUGCUGGCCAGCGGUCGGCUCCUCUCAAAUGCAUCAGCUUGCCAGUGUUCGGCGGCAUCACGGGUGUGAUAACUAUCUACGCUUGUGGUCGUCUGCUGGGUGACCUUCAGCGAUGGAGGUCCGCUGGAGCUUACAAACGUCUCUCCUCAGCGGAGACAGCCUUGAACGUUCGAUCUCAAAUCAGGUAGGACUACCCGCUGAACUUAA